Molecule: ribosomal RNA, 745 nt
Filed under: uncultured bacterium
Lineage: Bacteria
Description: bacterial SSU rRNA
Rfam family: Bacterial small subunit ribosomal RNA
Source: RNAcentral
ACGCUGGCGGCAUGCCUUACACAUGCAAGUCGAACGGCAGCACGGAGCUUGCUCUGGUGGCGAGUGGCGAACGGGUGAGUAAUAUAUCGGAACGUACCCUAGAGUGGGGGAUAACGUAGCGAAAGUUACGCUAAUACCGCAUACGAUCUAAGGAUGAAAGUGGGGGAUCGCAAGACCUCAUGCUCGUGGAGCGGCCGAUAUCUGAUUAGCUAGUUGGUAGGGUAAAAGCCUACCAAGGCAUCGAUCAGUAGCUGGUCUGAGAGGACGACCAGCCACACUGGAACUGAGACACGGUCCAGACUCCUACGGGAGGCAGCAGUGGGGAAUUUUGGACAAUGGGCGAAAGCCUGAUCCAGCAAUGCCGCGUGAGUGAAGAAGGCCUUCGGGUUGUAAAGCUCUUUUGUCAGGGAAGAAACGGUGAGAGCUAAUAUCUCUUGCUAAUGACGGUACCUGAAGAAUAAGCACCGGCUAACUACGUGCCAGCAGCCGCGGUAAUACGUAGGGUGCAAGCGUUAAUCGGAAUUACUGGGCGUAAAGCGUGCGCAGGCGGUUUUGUAAGUCUGAUGUGAAAUCCCCGGGCUCAACCUGGGAACUGCAUUGGAGACUGCAAGGCUAGAAUCUGGCAGAGGGGGGUAGAAUUCCACGUGUAGCAGUGAAAUGCGUAGAUAUGUGGAGGAACACCGAUGGCGAAGGCAGCCCCCUGGGUCAAGAUUGACGCUCAUGCACGAAAGCGUGGGGAGCAAAC